Long non-coding RNA from Vitis vinifera (wine grape), 1031 nucleotides. RefSeq lists it as uncharacterized. The record is from RefSeq and is a predicted model, not a curated record. Lineage: Eukaryota; Viridiplantae; Streptophyta; Magnoliopsida; Vitales; Vitaceae. The transcript has 2 exons.
UUAUUUUUAACUUAAAAAUAUAUAAAAUAAAUAUUUUGAUUUUCUAUAUAAAAAGAUAAAUUUUAUUUUACAUAUAUUUUCAAAUAAGCAUGUGAAAAUAUACUCUUCCCAUAAAAAAGAGUAAUUGAAAAAUAAAAAAAUAAAAAGUAAUAUGAGGCAUAUUAGGGGCCUUUGAAUGACUCAGGAAGAAACCUAACUUGGAAAUUUGGAAGCAACCUACCUUCUCAGCUCUGCGUCCUUCUCUGACACCCUUUAUUUUACAAAUUCUCGAAUUCCUUAGAUCAAGUUUUCCCAAUUACUCAGAACGAGAAUUUGGAAUAUCGGAAACCAAACACGACCCCUCUGGUAAUUUGUAUCUGUGUCCAAUCUUUCAGUUCUUACUCAGAAAAAAAAGGAGAAAAAAAAAUAUGGAUGGGUUGAAUGGCCGAACCGUCAUCUCCUUGAAGCCGAUACUGCCCCCUCAAUGUACUCCAAAAAUGUUGUGUUACCCACACAAGGUAAUGUCCUGGGCUCUUUAUAACACUUACUGCAGCCAUUUUUUGUUCCUCGAAAAUUUAUUACUAGUUGCUAGUAAGUCAUGGAACAUUUAUCAAUUAUUUUAUAGGAUAGCCACACUGUGAAUGAUAACAAUGCAUAGCGCAUCCAGUCUCAUGUGUGAACUCCUUCCUUUUGGUUGCUUCUCGUCUGUUGGAACCAAACGAGCCAAGCUCAGCUACUCCAAAACUUCUAAUAAUUUUUAUCCCAAUCAUAUCUGGGGAACGAAGUUUACUAGUCACUGUCAUUAUGGAAUAAAUGCAGAUUUCUCCUAUUGUUAUCCGUAUGUGGUACUUGUCCACCAAUGCUUGUUCUUUUUUUCCGUUAGUUUUGACGUAUCAGAGCUUUUCAUUCUUCCUUCACUAGUUUUUUUUUAUAGCAGUUAUAUGCAUCAUUCAUGCUUCAAAUAUGGGUAUUGUAAAUUUUGUGCAGAUCUGUUGCUCAUUGUAAUUUAUGCUAGGAUGCAUAGAAAUAGCAAGUACUGAAAAUAAAUUGUG